RNAcentral lists this ribosomal RNA (377 nucleotides) under uncultured bacterium. Its description in RNAcentral is "bacterial SSU rRNA". It matches the Rfam family "Bacterial small subunit ribosomal RNA", at positions 29 to 433 of the family's 1533-position model. The record is from RNAcentral.
AACGAACGCUGGCGGCAGGCUUAACACAUGCAAGUCGAGCGCUGUAGCAAUACAGAGCGGCAGACGGGUGAGUAACGCGUGGGAAUCUACCUAGAACUACGGAACAACUGAGGGAAACUUCAGCUAAUACCGUAUACGCCCUACGGGGGAAAGAUUUAUCGGUUUUAGAUGAGCCCGCGUAAGAUUAGCUAGUUGGUGGGGUAAUGGCCUACCAAGGCGACGAUCUUUAGCUGGUCUGAGAGGAUGAUCAGCCACACUGGGACUGAGACACGGCCCAGACUCCUACGGGAGGCAGCAGUGGGGAAUAUUGGACAAUGGGCGCAAGCCUGAUCCAGCCAUGCCGCGUGAGUGAUGAAGGCCUUAGGGUUGUAAAGCUC